GCCCCCGUCGCCCAACGGACAGGGCUCCGGGCUUCGGACCCGGCCGUGCAGGUUCAAAUCCUGCCGGGGGUG
Molecule: transfer RNA, 72 nt
Filed under: Chloroflexota bacterium
Lineage: Bacteria; Bacillati; Chloroflexota
Description: Chloroflexi bacterium tRNA-Arg
Rfam family: tRNA
About the family: Transfer RNA (tRNA) molecules are approximately 80 nucleotides in length. Their secondary structure includes four short double-helical elements and three loops (D, anti-codon, and T loops). Further hydrogen bonds mediate the characteristic L-shaped molecular structure. tRNAs have two regions of fundamental functional importance: the anti-codon, which is responsible for specific mRNA codon recognition, and the 3' end, to which the tRNAs corresponding amino acid is attached (by aminoacyl-tRNA synthetases). tRNAs cope with the degeneracy of the genetic code in two manners: having more than one tRNA (with a specific anti-codon) for a particular amino acid; and 'wobble' base-pairing, i.e. permitting non-standard base-pairing at the 3rd anti-codon position.
Source: RNAcentral